CCUACGGGUGGCAGCAGUGAGGAAUAUUGGUCAAUGGGCGCGAGCCUGAACCAGCCAAGUCGCGUGAAGGAUGACUGCCCUCCGGGUUGUAAACUUCUUUUGUAAAGGAAUAAAGUGAGGCACGUGUGCCUUUUUGUCUUUACUUUAUGAAUAAGGAUCGGCUAGCUCCGUGCCAGCAGCCGCGGUAAUACGGAGGAUCCGAGGGUUAUCCGGAUUUAUGGGGUUUAAAGGGAGCGUAGAUGGGUUGUUAAGUCAGUUGUGAAAGUUUGCGGCUCAACCGUAAAAUUGCAAUUGAUACUGGCAGACUGGAGUACAGGUGAGGUAGGCGGAAUUCGUGGUGUAGCGGUGAAAUGCUUAGAUAUCACGAAGAACUCCGAUUGCGAAGGCAGCUUACUAAACUGCGACUGACAUUGAUGCUCGAAAGUGUGGGGAUCAAACAGGAUUAGAUACCCGGGUAGUC
Molecule: ribosomal RNA, 460 nt
Filed under: uncultured bacterium
Lineage: Bacteria
Description: partial 16S ribosomal RNA
Rfam family: Bacterial small subunit ribosomal RNA
Source: RNAcentral